This 279-nucleotide ribosomal RNA is filed under the name uncultured bacterium. RNAcentral's name for it is "partial 16S ribosomal RNA". It matches the Rfam family "Bacterial small subunit ribosomal RNA", at positions 506 to 784 of the family's 1533-position model. The record is from RNAcentral.
UGCCAGCAGCCGCGGUAAUACAGAGGGUGCAAGCGUUAAUCGGAAUUACUGGGCGUAAAGCGCGCGUAGGUGGAUAGUUAAGUCAGAUGUGAAAACCCCGGGCUCAACCUGGGAAUGGCAUAUGAUACUGGCUGUCUAGAGUAUGGUAGAGGGAAGUGGAAUUUCCGGUGUAGCGGUGAAAUGCGUAGAUAUCGGAAGGAACAUCAGUGGCGAAGGCGACUUCCUGGACUAAUACUGACACUGAGGUGCGAAAGCGUGGGGAGCGAACAGGAUUAGAUA